GACGAACGCUGGCGGCGUGCCUAAUACAUGCAAGUAGAACGCUGAAGAGAGGAGCUUGCUCUUCUUGGAUGAGUUGCGAACGGGUGAGUAACGCGUAGGUAACCUGCCUUGUAGCGGGGGAUAACUAUUGGAAACGAUAGCUAAUACCGCAUAACAAUGGAUGACACAUGUCAUUUAUUUGAAAGGGGCAAUUGCUCCACUACAAGAUGGACCUGCGUUGUAUUAGCUAGUAGGUGAGGUAAUGGCUCACCUAGGCGACGAUACAUAGCCGACCUGAGAGGGUGAUCGGCCACACUGGGACUGAGACACGGCCCAGACUCCUACGGGAGGCAGCAGUAGGGAAGCUUCGGCAAUGGGGGCAACCCUGACCGAGCAACGCCGCGUGAGUGAAGAAGGUUUUCGGAUCGUAAAGCUCUGUUGUAAGUCAAGAACGGGUGUGAGAGUGGAAAGUUCACACUGUGACGGUAGCUUACCAGAAAGGGACGGCUAACUACGUG
This 497-nucleotide ribosomal RNA is filed under the name uncultured bacterium. RNAcentral describes it as "partial 16S ribosomal RNA". It matches the Rfam family "Bacterial small subunit ribosomal RNA", at positions 28 to 507 of the family's 1533-position model. The record is from RNAcentral.